Molecule: long non-coding RNA, 1708 nt
Organism: Perca fluviatilis (European perch)
Lineage: Eukaryota; Metazoa; Chordata; Actinopteri; Perciformes; Percidae
Exons: 4
Source: RefSeq, a predicted model, not a curated record
GGUGAGUUGUCUGACAUCGGACCAGCUUAUUUUCACCUCUAAACGACACUUUGGUUCCUGGGGCAGGGAGGCGAGGAGUCAGGGACCUCAGGACUGGAGAAGGAACUUCAGGACAUGGAGGAGGAGAGGGAGUUUAUCGUGAGGCUGCAAAAUACACCAGAGAAGGCCUGAGAAGUCUCGUGAACACGCCAGUGUGCUUCAACCUGACUUGUGUGGUGGGAAACGUCUUCAGGCACACGGGAAUCACCGGAAAAUAAGUUUUGUUUUUAAUUCUUUGCUUUUGUAUGAGCCGGAUUAUACAGUACAUCUACCAAACGUAUUAUGAAUAAAACAACAUGGAUAUUCCAUUACUAUGGGUUCUUACCGACAUUUCAGAACCAUUUAUGAUGGGUCGGGAUAUUGCCAUCCUUGUGUAACCCAGACUAAAAGGUACACAGGCAUGGAUUCACGAGGGAGUGGAGGGGGGCAUUUUAUAGCAUUUUGAUAAGAUGCAUAGUGAUAUUAAUCAAAUACAGUAAUGCACACAAAAAAAUUCUAUGGUUUCUAUGGGAGAAAAACAAACAUUAUGUACAUUAGCCAUGCCCUACAGGAAUUGGGAUUUUGUAUGUUGAUACAUUUUGAAACCACUUCAAUACAUGAUGUAUGUUCUAAUGUCUAAGUUUUACAUAAAUUAAAUAAUUUGCACAUAUAUCUAUGUGUAUGUUGUCAGUCAUUUACAUUUAGGUUGAAAUUGAGUGAUGCUUGACAUUGAAAUUAUAGCACGCUAAAACGUAGCUAACAUUGAUUUAGCUAGCUCGGUUUAAGGAGAUGUUUAUGAAUAAAACGUUACUAACGAUAGCUAAUCCACUGACCGUUGGUAACGCACGGACAUUGUUAUUAUUGGAUAUUUCCUUGCUGAAAAGUGAACAUGCAGAAAAAGGAGGAACAUUUUUAUUCAGCUAGCUAUCAUGUAGCCUAUUUUGAAUGCUCAGGUUUCCAUAUUGCAUGUAUUUUUAAUUGUUUGUGUAGCGUUAACCAAAAGUUAUGUAUUAAGUACAGUACUUUAUGUAGUUCCUUUUAAAUAAAAAAUGAAAAAAUGUAAUGCUGACAAAUCGCCGGUUCCCGCCCGGGGCUGUGGUGUACACUCUGAUAUAAACAACUCCCUGGAAGUUAUCUAUGUAAAUUUAUUUUUAAGGAUGAAUAUACAGAACAAAUUUGUAGAGUAGAUUACACUCGUUUUUAAAGGAGGGAAUUUUGGACAGUCAAGAAAAAAAAUCUAUUGUUUUUUUUUUUAGGUAUAACCUUUUACAUAAAUUUGUUCCGAGAAAAAAACCCUGUCCCCUACCAGGAGUCAGGGACCUCAGGACUGGAGAAGGAACUUCAGGACAUGGAGGAGGAGAGGGAGUUUAUCGCGAGGCUGCAAAAUACACCAGAGAAGGCCCGAGAAGUCUCGUGAACACGCCAGUGUGCUUCAACCUGACUUGUGUGGUGGGAAACGUCUUCAGGCACACGGGAAUCACCGGAAAAUAAGUUUUGUUUUUAAUUCUUUCUUUUUGUAUGAGCCGGAUUAUACAGUACAUCUACCAAACGUAUCAUGAAUAAAACAACAUGGAUAUUCCAUUACUAUGGGUUCUUACCGACAUUUCAGAACCAUUUAUGAUGGGUUGGGAUAUUGCCAUCCUUGUGUAACCCAGACUAAAAGGUACACAGGCAUGGAUUCACGAGGGAG